UACGAAGGGGGCUAGCGUUGUUCGGAAUUACUGGGCGUAAAGCGCGCGCAGGCGGUCUUCCAAGUCAGUGGUGAAAUCCCGGGGCUCAACCCCGGAACUGCCUUUGAUACUGGGUAUCUGGAGGUCGAGAGAGGCGAGUGGAAUUCCGAGUGUAGAGGUGAAAUUCGUAGAUAUUCGGAGGAACACCAGUGGCGAAGGCGGCUCGCUGGCUCGAUACUGACGCUGAGGUGCGAAAGCGUGGGGAGCAAACAGG
This 253-nucleotide ribosomal RNA is filed under the name uncultured bacterium. Its description in RNAcentral is "partial 16S ribosomal RNA". It matches the Rfam family "Bacterial small subunit ribosomal RNA", at positions 524 to 776 of the family's 1533-position model. The record is from RNAcentral.